RNAcentral lists this long non-coding RNA (472 nucleotides) under Papio anubis (olive baboon). RNAcentral describes it as "lncRNA (ENSPANG00000047077.1)". The record is from RNAcentral. Lineage: Eukaryota; Metazoa; Chordata; Mammalia; Primates; Cercopithecidae.
UAUUUUCAUAGUCUCUUUUUGCUAAAUAACUACUAUGUGUCACAUAGGCAUGCCUUUUAAAGCUUUAUGAUGUGCUGGUAUUUAUUAUUCUCAUUUUCCAGAUAAGGAAACUGAAGUUCAGAAGGGUGCAAUAGCUACCCAGCUAUGGAAAAAAGGAUCAAGGACUUCUUGUGUCUUAAGGCAUUCAGUUCUCAAACUAAUAUGAGAGGGAGAUAGUAUUGUUAUUCUUUCCAUUGUUGAUUACUAUUUUGCCUAACACCCCUAUUUCCCUCUCUGCAGUGGCUCUCCCUGUGAGAGGAGUAUGCUUCUUGAUCACUGAAGGCUGACUAGGCGAUGCAGAAGGAAGAGAAACAUAAUAUUGCAAGUUGUGAGUUCAAAGCAAUGUUCAGUAAGUAUAAGUCAGAGAAAGCCUUGACAUAAGCGUAAUAGGUAUGUAAAUAUCUGUCAAUAAUAUUUGUUAUCAAUUCAGAGG